This 329-nucleotide unclassified non-coding RNA is filed under the name soil metagenome. RNAcentral's name for it is "partial contains 5.8S ribosomal RNA, internal transcribed spacer 2, and large subunit ribosomal RNA". The stretch from base 1 to 120 matches the Rfam family "5.8S ribosomal RNA", at positions 35 to 154 of the family's 154-position model. The record is from RNAcentral.
GAUGAAGAACGCAGCGAAAUGCGAUAAGUAAUGUGAAUUGCAGAAUUCAGUGAAUCAUCGAAUCUUUGAACGCACAUUGCGCCCUCUGGUAUUCCGGGGGGCAUGCCUGUUCGAGCGUCAUUAUAACCACUCAAGCUCUCGCUUGGUAUUGGGGUUCGCGGUUCCGCGGCCCCUAAAAUCAGUGGCGGUGCCUGUCGGCUCUACGCGUAGUAAUACUCCUCGCGAUUGAGUCCGGUAGGUCUACUUGCCAGCAACCCCCAAUUUUUACAGGUUGACCUCGGAUCAGGUAGGACUACCCGCUGAACUUAAGCAUAUCAAUAAGCGGAGGA